Molecule: long non-coding RNA, 889 nt
Filed under: Sorghum bicolor (sorghum)
Lineage: Eukaryota; Viridiplantae; Streptophyta; Magnoliopsida; Poales; Poaceae
Description: long non-coding RNA (SBIC_LNC011091)
Source: RNAcentral
GGUGAUGUCAUAUGGCAGGCGUGGGCUGAUUACGGCCGGUUAAGUUAACUGACGUUUUAUCAAAUAUAUACUAGUAUAUAGUACAUAAAAGAAAGUUUGGGCGUCAGAUCAAGAUACAAAUAGAUUAUUAGUUACCUAACAUAUCCCAGAAUCUCCCUCGCUGUCCCUAGCUCUAGCUACUCUAGAGUUCAUGACAUCUGUUAUUUGAAGGCUAGCUGAAAGCCUGAAAAAGACAAGACACUCUAACCAGGGAAAUUCCUUUGCAAGCUUUAGCUAUCUGUUGCCAAAGUAGCGAAGAUUUAGCACUCUCUUGUUGCUACCGGCCGGUUCAUAAACAAACCAUGGACAGACAUUGUUUUUUUUUUCAAAGGACAUAGACAGACAUUGUUGUCGUACGUCAGCCUUCUCUUUUUUCUCGAUUUUUUCAUUAUUGCUGGUCAGCUUUGUCAUGCUUCUUGCUACAAUAGGCUGCUAGUUUCCCAACUUACCUUUCACAAAGUCGUGUAGAACUGUUAUGGAUAUGAUAUGAUACAACCUUUUUUUUUACCAGUGUCGCCGUGUCGGGGAAGAGUUCAUACGCUUGGAAUGAAAGAUGAUGGUGGUAUCAUGUGUGCCAGGUGUCGGUUAACGUACUGGCCAUAUAUAAGCCCAUAAUAGUGACCCGCUUAGUUAACAAUACCAAAUGGGGAAGAGUUAAUUUUAACCUCGAACCUAAAAUAGAUACAUGAUUGCCAAUUAUAUAGCAUGAAAAAUACGUACUUCCUCCAAAUGUAAUGUGCUGGCUCGCGAUAAAUGACACUGAUGCAGUGCUUUGUUUAGACCACCUCAUGGUCAUGCAAGGUUCAAAUAAGUUCCACGCGCGGCCAGACGACUUUAGUUGUCGCGAUUG